RNAcentral lists this transfer RNA (73 nucleotides) under Mycobacterium koreense. RNAcentral's name for it is "tRNA-Lys". It matches the Rfam family "tRNA". Rfam says of the family: Transfer RNA (tRNA) molecules are approximately 80 nucleotides in length. Their secondary structure includes four short double-helical elements and three loops (D, anti-codon, and T loops). Further hydrogen bonds mediate the characteristic L-shaped molecular structure. tRNAs have two regions of fundamental functional importance: the anti-codon, which is responsible for specific mRNA codon recognition, and the 3' end, to which the tRNAs corresponding amino acid is attached (by aminoacyl-tRNA synthetases). tRNAs cope with the degeneracy of the genetic code in two manners: having more than one tRNA (with a specific anti-codon) for a particular amino acid; and 'wobble' base-pairing, i.e. permitting non-standard base-pairing at the 3rd anti-codon position. Lineage: Bacteria; Bacillati; Actinomycetota; Actinomycetes; Mycobacteriales; Mycobacteriaceae. The record is from RNAcentral.
GCCUCGCUAGCUCAGCUGGUAGAGCUGCCGACUUUUAAUCGGUAGGUCCGGGGUUCGAUUCCCUGGCGGGGCA